RNAcentral lists this transfer RNA (81 nucleotides) under Streptomyces xanthophaeus. RNAcentral describes it as "tRNA-Arg". Lineage: Bacteria; Bacillati; Actinomycetota; Actinomycetes; Kitasatosporales; Streptomycetaceae. The record is from RNAcentral.
GCCGCGCGUGGCGCGUAGGCGGGGGGCGCCGCUGCGGGCGGCGGUGAGGACGGCGGGCUGCUCGGGGCGGCUGCGCAGCGC